UACGUAGGGGGCAAGCGUUGUCCGGAUUCAUUGGGCGUAAAGAGCGUGUAGGCGGCCAGGUAGGUCGGUUGUGAAAACUGGAGGCUCAACCUUCAGAGGUCGACCGAAACCAUCUGGCUAGAGUCCGGGAGAGGAGAGUGGAAUUCCUGGUGUAGCGGUGAAAUGACGCAGAUAUCAGGAAGAACACCCGUGGCGAAAGCGGCUCCUCUGGAACGGUACUGACGCUGAGACGCGAAAGCGUGGGGAGCGAACAGG
RNAcentral lists this ribosomal RNA (255 nucleotides) under uncultured bacterium. Its description in RNAcentral is "partial 16S ribosomal RNA". It matches the Rfam family "Bacterial small subunit ribosomal RNA", at positions 524 to 776 of the family's 1533-position model. The record is from RNAcentral.